CAGGGGAAGGGCUGGGCUCUAAAGGGCUGUGGAGCCCAGUGGAGAGAGGCAGAGGGGAGGGGGCUUGCGGGGGGGGGGCGUGUCUCUGGUCUCUAACCUCCCCCCCUGUCCCAUGCAGGGUUCGCCUGCUCCUUCGGCCAGCAGCUCCCUAAUGGGUGGUGCCGUGAGUGAAUCAAGUCUGUCAUGUUCAUCUGGAGGGCAUUCACAUGCCGAAGAAGCCCCCCCAGCCUGAUGCAGGGUGACGCCAGCGAGCUGGAUUUUGGGGCGGUGCAGCGGGGGGACCCCAAGAUGGAGCAGAAGAUGAACCAGGUGUUGCAGGGCUGAGUGGGGAUAUCAGCCCCAUCUGCAGCUUUCAUGACCAGGGGGCUGAGGGCAACGGUUUGCAACAUGGUUGGCAGAGUGACCACUCUGAAGCUUCAGGAGGGAACAAAGCCAAAGGACUAGGAGGGUGGGGGUUAGCUGAAGAGCCCCUCGCCCUUGCUAAACAGGUAGCUGAACAAGGUCCGUGCUCAUGGAGACAAGAUUCUUUCCAGGGGAGAGACGUCCUUGAGUCUGUUUGUAAGGGAUUUGACUCAUUCUGUAAGUGCGUGAAACCAAAGGAAAAGCUAUCGAAGUAGCAGCUGCCACAAAGACAUUGUGGAAAGCUGUCGCUGAUCGCUCCAGCCUGGUAGCACUCCGGGAAACACAACUGGAAGAUUACAAAUUGCAGUUGGAUACAGUUAAGGAUAAUUUGGCUCAGUAGAAGGCAUCACAGGCAAAACCAGGAGAGCGUCAGCAACUGAAAGUAGAAAACCCGGGGAAGUAUCUACAUUGCAAUCGAAGCUGGGGGAUGCUCAGGCGGCUGUCAGAACGGUGUUUCAAGAAAAUAACGAGGGGGCCCGGACAAAUAGUGACCACGCAGUCUGCAGGCAGCGGACAGUAGCAGCAGUAAGAGGAGAAGUAAGUGCGAGCACCAGGGAUACAGACACCUGGAAUGAUACUUGGAACGGGGAUAUUUGAAUUGAUCCCGAACAGAGAGAUCUUGGAUGGUCAUAUCCUUCUGAUCUACUUUUCCUGAAGGGCCCUAUGGCCCUGUGCAAAGGGAAUUGCAGGAUUUUAAAUUAGAGGCUGUGAUGUUGUGCAGUCUAUAUGGUUUUAUAAAAAUAUGGUAAGUGAAUAUAACGUAACUGGGAUAUGCUUCAUGCAAAAGGUCUCUUGUAAGGUAUCAUUACAAAGCUCAUAAUCUAAUGAGUGUGAUUAUCCUGUUUGUAGAAAUGUACCACUCUUGUAUCUAAAACUAGAAAUAUAAAACAUAACUCUGAGGGCCUAUUGUAAUUAUGUAAAGUGUGGGCCAUUAAGGAUGGUUUGGAAUCUUGAUGACUCCCAUUGUCUGCAGAUGUCUGUAUUUACCUGUGAGUCUUCCUGUAUGUGUGUGUGCUGGCAUGUGAUCAUGUCACCUGAACUAGAAUCCAUCUUUAACCUGGUGCUUUUCCAGUGAGGGGGGGUGGAAGCCAGAGGGACAAAGGGUUCCCGCCUUAUGCAAAAGAUAUAUAAAGGGGUGGAAGAGAACAAGGGGGAGNNNNNNNNNNNNNNNNNNNNUUCUCUGUAUUUAAUAAAAUCACUUUUUAUUUAGUAAUUUACUCA
Molecule: long non-coding RNA, 1623 nt
Filed under: Chrysemys picta bellii (western painted turtle)
Lineage: Eukaryota; Metazoa; Chordata; Testudines; Emydidae
Description: lncRNA (ENSCPBG00000010492.1)
Source: RNAcentral